GAUGGGGAGUUGCCGGAAUAUGAUAGUGAUGUGCAAAAUAUGUUGGACCUCUUCAUCACAAGCGAACAGGGCCACCUAGUCCAGCACGAGCAUGGUGAUGAGAUGCUUGGCCUACUGGGAGCCACUACCAACAUGGGCAACACUGACGAUGCCAACGCUGCUGUUGCAGACAAAUGCAACAAUAACGAUGGAGACCAACAUUGAGCAGAGAAUGGUGACAAGGCGUGCAAAUUAUAACCGUCUCCGUGGAGAACAAAUCCAACAACUUGAAGCGUACAAUACAUACUCAAUCAAUGUUUCUUACCUAUCGAAAAAGAUGUGUACUAAUCCAUUUUCAUUAACGUGAUAUGUAGUGUGUUCCAGGAAAGCCCUUAUCCAGAUGCUAAACUCCGGAAAGACCUUAGCGAGAGGCUUGGCAUGAGUGCCCCGCAGGUCAAGUUUUGGUUCCAAAACAAACGCUCCUCCAGCAAGGGCAAGAGGCAACUAAAGGAUACCAAGAAUCUUCAGGGAGAGAACCAGAUGCUAAAAGAUGAAAACCAAGCCAUCAAGUGGGUCACUGAAAACAAGACAUGCCUCAAAUGCGCAGGGGUGAUGCUAAAAACUCAGGAUACCUCGGAGCACCAACGCCUGUGUAUAGAGAAUAUGAGGCUCAAGGAAGAACUCCGACGUGCCACCGCCUAUCUUAAAGAGGGUCUCUACCGUAAUGGCAUAUGGCCCCAAUUUACCCGCGACUAAGCACAACGUCUUCUGUGUUAGUCAACGUCACAUGAAUCCAAGUUUCGCUUUAUUCCUUUGCUAUCAAAUAACGCGCCAUGUUGUGUGUUUAUGUACACGACCUGGCUGCUGGUUUAUUUCUUUAUGUAGACUAUUGUGGUUGCUAUAUGGGAUGGCAUGAGACGUAGCGAUUGCGGCAGCAAUGUUGGGGUUGUGGAGCGAGUGGCUUUGGGAUGGCAUUGCCAUGAAGCUCUGUCCAGCUCAUGUAUUUCUCCGUUCCUAUUUGUAGCCGAACGGCUCAAGUAGUGGCCAAAUGAAUAGACAAGCAAAAACAAAAAAUGUGCUAGUUGAAUGCCGCACAAGAAUUUUGUGUGUCUUGUAACA
Non-coding RNA from Aegilops tauschii subsp. strangulata, 1098 nucleotides. The record is from RefSeq and is a predicted model, not a curated record. NCBI's taxonomy places the organism in Eukaryota, Viridiplantae, Streptophyta, Magnoliopsida, Poales, Poaceae.